This 395-nucleotide ribosomal RNA is filed under the name uncultured bacterium. RNAcentral describes it as "partial 16S ribosomal RNA". It matches the Rfam family "Bacterial small subunit ribosomal RNA", at positions 338 to 730 of the family's 1533-position model. The record is from RNAcentral.
CCUACGGGUGGCUGCAGUGAGGAAUAUUGGUCAAUGGACGAGAGUCUGAACCAGCCAAGUAGCGUGAAGGAUGACUGCCCUAUGGUUUGUAAACUUCUUUUAUAGAGGAGUAAAACGAGGCACGUGUGCAUUUUUGCAUGGACUUUAUGAAUAAGGAUCGGCUAACUCCACGCCAGCAGCCGCGGUAAUACGGAGGAUGCGAGCGUUAUCCGGAUUUAUUGGGUUUAAAGGGAGCGUAGAUGGGUUGUUAAGUCAGUUGUGAAAGUUUGCGGCUCAACCGUAAAAUUGCAAUUGAUACUGGCAGUCUUGAGUACAGGUGAGGUAGGCGGAAUUCGUGGUGUAGGGGUGAAAUGCGUAGAUAUCACGAAGAACACCGAUGGCGAAGGCAACUUUCU